Molecule: long non-coding RNA, 669 nt
Filed under: Equus asinus (donkey)
Lineage: Eukaryota; Metazoa; Chordata; Mammalia; Perissodactyla; Equidae
Description: lncRNA (ENSEASG00005036026.1)
Source: RNAcentral
CUUCAUCCUGGCCCUUCUCUCUUGGGACGCUCACCAUGGAACCUAGCUGAGAGGAAGCCCAGGCAACGUGGUGAUGCCACACAUGGGUAUUCUGCUCAACAGCCCCAGCUAAGGUCCCAGCCAACAGCCAGCUUUGACUACCAGACAUGUGAAUGAAUGAACCUUCAGAUAACUCCAGCCCCACCUUUGAGUCUUUCAGCUGAGCCUCAGACACUAUGGAGCAGACUAACUGUCCUCAAAAUGCCGUGUGUGAAUUCCUGACCUACAGGAACCAUGAAAAUACUUCCUCAACUGGCUCUGUGUGCUGUGCCUCCUGUUUCUAGAGAACGAAUGCAGCAGCUGUGAUGCAAUUCCAGGCCCAGGCCUUAAGAAGAUCUGGCAGCUUCUGCUUUUGCUCCCUGGGGGAAGCCAGCCCGCUGUGAGCAGUCCAACUAUCCUGAGAGAUCACCUGGAGAGGCCAAGCAGAGGAGAACUGAGGAACCCAGCCAACACCAAGGACUGAAGCCUAGAUAUAUGACCCCACUUGAAUUGUUCCAACCAGACCUCAGCUUUUUGAGCCAUUCCAGCUGAGGGCCCAGACAUCACAGAACAGAGAUGAGCUAUUCCCACCAUGCUCUGAUCAAGUUACUGACCCACAAAGCCAUGUUCCAAUGAAAUGCUGUUUUAAGC